UACGUUUUAGAGGUUUGAAAACUAAUUUUAGAGAAAAAUAGGAAACUGAUUGGAUUCUUUGGAAGAGAAGGCAAAAGGAUAGUGAAUUUCAUGGAAAAUGACAUUUCUAGACACAGACCCUUUUGUUGAUAAGACUAAGCAACUUGUAGCCCUUUGUUCCAUGUGGAUAUCCAAGAAAAAUGUAAGGUUGUGAUCUAGGAUCAAACCUGCUUCUAUGAAUGGAUGAAGUGGGAAAAAAAAAGAGCACAAACAUCCAAAGCACCUCAUGUUGUGAUACUUAGGAACUGAUCCAAAAAGAAUCUGAUAAGCUUGACGCAAGAGACAGAUGUGAAAGUGAAGAUUGCGGCAUAAGUUAUACCCAAAAGAGGGAGUUUCAAGUAUCUUGGGUCCAUAAUACAAGGGAACGGGGAGAUUGACGAUAAUGUCACACAUCGUAUUGGAGCAGGGUGGAUGAAAUGGAGGCUCGCCUCUGGGGUGCUUUGCGAUAAGAAGGUGUCUCCUAGGCCUAAAGGUAAGUUCUACAAAGUGGUGGUAAGACCAGCAUUGUUGUAUGGGGCAGAAUGCUGGGCAAUCAAGAACGUUCAUGUUCAGAAGAUGAAGGUAGCGGAAAUGCGGAUGCUUAGAUGGAUGUGCGGUCAUACUAGAAGAGAUAUGAUUAGGAAUGAAGAUAUAUGGGACAAGGUCGGAGUGGACUCCGUGGCGGACAAGUUAUGGGAAGCGAAAUUGAGAUGGUUCGGACAUACGAGGAGGAGGUGUGAGGAUGUGCCAGUUAGGAGGUGUUAGAGAUUGGCGGUCGCAGGAGUUAGGAGAGGUAGAGGUAGGCCGAAAAAGAACAAGGGGGAGGUGAUGAAACAAGAUAUGGCACAGCUUUAGCUGACUUAGGACAUGACCUUAGAUAGGAAAUUUUGGAGGUCGAGGAUUAGGAUAGUAGGUAGUUAAGUUCUGUAGCGAUGUGUGAGAGAGAGGUGGGCGGCUAGCUUUUCCAUCUCCUUUCUCCUUGCCUUAGUAGUAUUAUUUUGGUGGAUCACUGGAGGAAACAACCACAUUUGCUCUAGAAGUUGAUUGGUAUGACUGCUUCUGCUUGGUGAAAUUGAAAUUAGAGGGGAAUCCAUGCAACUUGUAACAUUUCUCGACGGUAUGACCUACUUUUUUGCAAUAAGUACAAAAUGCAAAAUCCUUUUUGUUAUAAACUGCUCUUCGUGCCUGAUAUGUUGGCCUUUUGUUCAAGCUUUUUCUAGAUCAUUGUCCAUCAGCUAUGAAACAAGUUGAUUCCACUGGAUAAGGGACAGAAUGAUGGAUCUCUGUUCGUUUCUCAUUUUAUAUAACUAAGGAGGAAGCAUGUCUAGUAAAAGGGAGAGAGGUAUUCAUCAAGAUGUUCCUCCUUAUUCUAAGGGAAGAAUCAUUAAAUCGCAUAAGAAAUUGUAACGACCUCUCAUCCUCUAGAGCUUUGUUAGUCUUAUAUUUUUCCAUCAUAUUCACAAGCACAAAGAGAAAAAGUAUUAGAAUCUAACUCAUCCCAAAGACACUUUAGCUUGGUAAAAUAGGUUGUUAUACUUAGAUUACCUUAAACUAAAGUGGAUAAUCCCUUUUGUAGUUAGAAGAGCUUAGCACCGUUGGUCUGUCCAUGCUCGCUUUUAGACCUUCCAAAGUUACCUUGCAAUGUGUGAAUAAAGCACACUAGUUGCUAUGUCCCUUAAAAGAGAAUUCAAGAGCCAUGAAAGGACCAUGAAAGGAAAGCAGAAGAAAAGAGACUGAAGAAUAGUGUAUUAAACCUGCUCUGAUACAUGUUGGUUGAGAGAAGAUUUAGGAUAAAUUUUCUGAUUUUCAUUGAUGAGAAUAACGUGUUCUGUAGAUAGAGAUUUAUACGAGAAGCAAAUGUGAAUUCCUAA
This is a long non-coding RNA of Lycium barbarum (goji berry), 1889 nucleotides long. RefSeq lists it as uncharacterized. The transcript has 2 exons. The record is from RefSeq and is a predicted model, not a curated record. Lineage: Eukaryota; Viridiplantae; Streptophyta; Magnoliopsida; Solanales; Solanaceae.